GUUUCCUUGCUGAUGCCUCUCACAGGGAUGAGACUGCUCUUUCAGACAGCUGUAUGACUGCAGCCUCAGGAGCUCCUUCUCUUCACCACUUUAAAGGGUGUGGGACAUGUCUUGUAGCUCUCAGGAAAUGAUAAGCUACAGUGGAAUUAUUCAAGAUGUGGAGUAAUCUUUAAGCAGAAAAUACACUGGCAGGUUGGUUUUGCUUUUUUUUU
Molecule: long non-coding RNA, 212 nt
Organism: Parus major (Great Tit)
Lineage: Eukaryota; Metazoa; Chordata; Aves; Passeriformes; Paridae
Exons: 3
Source: RefSeq, a predicted model, not a curated record